GUGGCUUGGAAGACCGACGCGAUGAAGCCCAGACCUGCAGGGUUCGUGGAUAAUAAACUCAAGCAGCGAGUGAUCCAGUACCUUACCAGUAACAAAUGUGGCAAAUAUGUGGACAUUGGAGUCUUAGCGUCUGAUUUACAAAGAAUGUACAGUGUAGACUAUGGUCGAAGAAAAAGAAAUGCUUUUAGGAUUCAGGUAGAAAAAGUAUUUAGCAUAAUUAGUAGUGAGAAGGAACUUAAGAAUUUAACAGAAUUAGAAGAUGAACAUUUGGCAAAAAGAGCAAGACAAGGUGAAGAGGAUAAUGAACAGCGUCUUGCUCUGUCACCCAGGCUUCAGUGCACUGGCACAAUCAUGGCUUACCGCAGUCUUGAUGUCCCAGGCCCAAGCGAUCCUCCCACCUCAGCCUCACAAGUAGCUGGGAUUACAGGUGUGCGCCAGCAUGCCCAGCUAAUUUUUUAAUUUUUUUGUAGAGACAGAGUCUCCCGUAGUUGCCCAGGCUAGAAUUUGUAUCUUAAUAUCUUAAUUAUAACAGCAUUUCAUUGCAUUCAUAUAAAGCUUUCUACCUUAACAAAAAAUUAUUUAAAUAAGAAAAGGACUUUUUUUUUUUUUCUUAUUUAAAUAAUUUUUUUUUGUUUUUUAGACAGUCUCGUACUGUGGGCCAGGCUGGAGCGUAGUGGCACGAUCUUGGCUCACUGCAACCUCCAUCUCCCGGGCUCAAGUAAUUCUCCUGCCUCAGCCUCCCGAGUAGCUGGGAUUACAGGUGUGUUUUCACCAUGCCUGGCUAACUUUUGUAUUUUUAGUAGAGACGGGGUUUCACCAUGUUGGCCAGGCUAGUCUCUAACUCCUGACCUCAGGUAAUCCACCUGCCUCGGCCUCCCAAAGUGCUGGGAUUACAGGCGUGAGCCACCGCGCCGGG
RNAcentral lists this small RNA (916 nucleotides) under Pongo abelii (Sumatran orangutan). RNAcentral's name for it is "retained intron". Lineage: Eukaryota; Metazoa; Chordata; Mammalia; Primates; Hominidae. The record is from RNAcentral.